RNAcentral lists this ribosomal RNA (499 nucleotides) under Fusobacterium sp. CO5. Its description in RNAcentral is "bacterial SSU rRNA". It matches the Rfam family "Bacterial small subunit ribosomal RNA", at positions 8 to 521 of the family's 1533-position model. Lineage: Bacteria; Fusobacteriati; Fusobacteriota; Fusobacteriia; Fusobacteriales; Fusobacteriaceae. The record is from RNAcentral.
AGAGUUUGAUCCUGGCUCAGGACGAACGCUGGCGGCGCGCCUAACACAUGCAAGUCGAACGAGCGAGAGAAGCUUGCUUUCUCAAGCGAGUGGCGAACGGGUAAGUAACGCGUGAGGAACCUGCCUCAAAGAGGGGGACAACAGUUGGAAACGACUGCUAAUACCGCAUAAGCCCACGACCCGGCAUCGGGUAGAGGGAAAAGGAGCAAUCCGCUUUGAGAUGGCCUCGCGUCCGAUUAGCUAGUUGGUGAGGUAACGGCCCACCAAGGCGACGAUCGGUAGCCGGACUGAGAGGUUGAACGGCCACAUUGGGACUGAGACACGGCCCAGACUCCUACGGGAGGCAGCAGUGGGGAAUAUUGCACAAUGGGGGAAACCCUGAUGCAGCGACGCCGCGUGGAGGAAGAAGGUCUUCGGAUUGUAAACUCCUGUUGUUGAGGAAGAUAAUGACGGUACUCAACAAGGAAGUGACGGCUAAAUACGUGCCAGCAGCCGCGGU